Molecule: ribosomal RNA, 464 nt
Filed under: Vreelandella stevensii
Lineage: Bacteria; Pseudomonadati; Pseudomonadota; Gammaproteobacteria; Oceanospirillales; Halomonadaceae
Description: partial 16S ribosomal RNA
Rfam family: Bacterial small subunit ribosomal RNA
Source: RNAcentral
CCUCGGGAGGCAGCAGUGGGGAAUAUUGGACAAUGGGCGAAAGCCUGAUCCAGCCAUGCCGCGUGUGUGAAGAAGGCCUUCGGGUUGUAAAGCACUUUCAGUGGGGAAGAAAGCCUUGGGGCUAAUACCCUCGAGGAAGGACAUCACCCACAGAAGAAGCACCGGCUAACUCCGUGCCAGCAGCCGCGGUAAUACGGAGGGUGCGAGCGUUAAUCGGAAUUACUGGGCGUAAAGCGCGCGUAGGCGGUCUGAUAAGCCGGUUGUGAAAGCCCCGGGCUCAACCUGGGAACGGCAUCCGGAACUGUCAGGCUAGAGUGCAGGAGAGGAAGGUAGAAUUCCCGGUGUAGCGGUGAAAUGCGUAGAGAUCGGGAGGAAUACCAGUGGCGAAGGCGGCCUUCUGGACUGACACUGACGCUGAGGUGCGAAAGCGUGGGUAGCAAACAGGAUUAGAUACCCGGGUAGUC